This 1901-nucleotide long non-coding RNA is filed under the name Capra hircus (goat). RNAcentral describes it as "lncRNA (ENSCHIG00010006663.1)". The record is from RNAcentral. Lineage: Eukaryota; Metazoa; Chordata; Mammalia; Artiodactyla; Bovidae.
CAUGAGAAUCUUUAUUCUAAAGACUAUGAAGAAAAUUAACUCAUGUGACCAGUUUAAUAUCAAUAUUUACUUAUACAAAGAAAGGAACCUCUGUUUUACCAUCAAGACCAUAAAGAAAAACAAUAAAAAUAUCAGAGAAAUGGCAGAUAUUGUCUAUGUUAAUAGGAGAAAGAAAAGGGGAAAAGCUUCUGUUAAGGCAAGACUCCUGAUAUGUUCAGUACUAUUUUCCAAAAGAAUGUCUUUCAAAUUUAUUUUUGAAAUCUCCUUCUCAAGUUCAAUAUUAAUAGGGAGCUUUGGCUGAAGAAAAAGGAAAAAUUUGUCCUUUAGCUGAGUAUCAGAUGUUUGGGAGUUUCUCUUCCACAUCAUUCUGCUCUCUUGUGGUGAAUAGCAUUGUUCAAUAGUUGAUAACAUAUUUUCUAAGAAAAAUAAAAAGUGGAUUUGAGAUCAGUUUCACAUGUGCCUUAAGAUUUGAUUUGUAUUUUAAUAUCAAGAUGUAGCUGUUUACAUCACUUAGGAGUGAUUUCCUUAAAACUGUUCCAGAUUACAUAUGUUGCUAUAACCAAUGUUUAUAGAGAAUAUGGAUAAAUUUCAACUUUAAAUGAGCUUGAGGCUUAAGUAGUUUCCAGAUAUUAGAAGAACUAGUUGGAAGAUCAUCUAGGUAAACCCCUUAAAAAAAAUCUAACUUAGUUCUUAAAAAAAAAUGUAGAUAUAUUAAAUGGACUAUAUAUGUAUUUUCUUUUAAUUUUAAACUUGUGUUAAACACUUAGGAUAUUUCUUACCAGUUGCAUUUAAUGUUAUUAACUGUAUAAUUUUAAAUGAUAUUUAUAAAAUGAAUUGCAUCAAAUAGAAAGAUUUGUUGAGAAUCAUUACUAUAUAGAUAGAUAGGUAGUUGUAGUUUAAAUCUCCAAUGUUGCUUACAAAUUUCUAGUCCAACAAGCAACAGACAUAUGUUCUGUUUAACAAAUCUUCUGAAGAAUAAUUACAAGUUGUUGGUGGAAAUCUGAAACAACUGUAAGCUCAUUGCCUUAAUACUUUAAUUUUAUAAAAGAGAAGCUUUAAAAUUAAGCCAGGGUAAGACAUUUCUUUGUUUCACUCAAUUUAAUUAAAUGCUCUAUUUCUUCUAUAAGGAUAAAAUUAGGCACUUGUUCAAUCCUGAAAUUCUUAGAUCGAUUGUAAACAAAGUUGCUACUCUUACAUUUAUGAGUUAUCCAUUAAAGUAUAGUAUAAAUAAAUAGAUACACUUACCUGGUAUUAAAACGGAAAGAGCUGCAAACGUUUCAGAAAGUUUCAAUAGAUAGAAAAGAAACUGAAACAGCAGUAUCCACUACCACUGGCUCAGGCUUUUUGGCUUUACAAGUGGCAGAUACUACCAGUUCAGGCCCAGUACCCUUGUGUUAUGUAACAUCUCAUUAAUAUUAGCCAUCAAACUGCUACCAAGCUGCUGAGGCACUAGAGGGCAAGAGUGUCACAUGCAAGACCGGUCGCCAAGGGACAGGUUUCGGUACCACUUGGGGAAGACAGAUGCUAAAGAAGCUGAUAAAUAACACGAUGCCUGAAAGCAGCAGUGAACUAGAAAUGUUUCUCAAAUAAUAUUUUAAACGUCAAUUUUCUGUCCAGCUGAAGAGUUAACAGGUUAAUAAAUAUGUAUAAGCAAAUAACCACACCAUGCGAAACUUUCGGGAUUGUACUUAAAAACCUCCAGUCAUCCAGGAAGCUAUCUUUCUUUUCUUUGUCUAAAUAAACUUAUUUUUAACAGGCGAGGAAAGGUCGAUUAAAUAAAACGAGUGGCAGUCUCAGGACCCCUUUAAACCGCGAGAAACUUGUCCUGACCGUGCGCGCCGCCUCUGGAGUCCGCGUUCCAAGUCUCCGGGGGCGGGUGUCUGGGCGAGGACCGCCGGUCC